Molecule: long non-coding RNA, 2816 nt
Organism: Hylaeus anthracinus
Lineage: Eukaryota; Metazoa; Arthropoda; Insecta; Hymenoptera; Colletidae
Exons: 6
Source: RefSeq, a predicted model, not a curated record
AUCGUUUCCUAGCCGAAGACCGUGGUCCUGUCUUCCUGGAAAUGACACGCGCGCAAUAGUAUCCCCUUCGCCUGCUUUCCCUCGUUUAUUCCUACGCGGCUGGACCCUGUCACUUUUUUCUCCGUGGAUGAUCCUUCACCUACGAAUAUUCGCUAACGCACUGGUUCGUUGCGCGGGCGGCACUAACUCUGGCCUUUUCCACGCGACUCCUCUCGCGCUCUUUCUUCACCUCUCCGCGUAUUACCGACGUAUCUCGAUCACUCCUACGUUUUUACCCUCUUGAUCGGCCACGCGAUCUCUUUGCCCUCGUCUGUACGUUUCCAAAACUUCUUUGCGCCGCAUUUUCUUAAGUAAAUCGGUUACUGUAUUUGAAACAAAAAAAGAUGAUUCGCGAUUCUAAAAAGAAUCCAUGAUAUAGCCUUACGUAUUCUUUCAAGUCUGGAUUUCUGUUACGUUUAACUGGUAUUUUUUGACUCAGUGCGUCACAUUUGGAUUUGGACCAAAUCUCGAAGGCUUGAAAGUUUAAGGGAUCGCUAUUAAAAUCGCUGUUUUAAAGAUCGUUCAGUGAGUGAGUCGUUCCGUCGACGGUAGAUACGCGCUGAACUAUUGUCCGCAAGGUCACGUUCAAGCACCCAUUGUCAGCCAGUGUUCUCUAGCAUCGUGAUUAAUGGAUCACUCGACCCUGAGCAACUAUCGCCGAGGAAAGUGUUUCCCUUGGCAGCAUCCCUUUCCACCAGGAAAUUAACGAUAGCACGUACGAAUCGCGAUUGCCAAGUUUACCAUAAAUCUUCGUGCGCUCUUCGACCCUCGCGAUCGAUCUCGAUGGAACUCGAAGAGUCUUGGAUCGCUCCACGCGAGUCUGUAUGGGGGACAAACUAUGUUGAGUCCGAGAGUUUGGAUACUUAAUUGGAAGUUGUAUUUCUUUAUUUUCAACGUGAAAGAAUACAAACUCUUUUCUCGUUUGUUUUCAGGUUUCCAACUCCAAUUAAUUACUGGAUACGGAGAGGUAUGCUUACGCUCGUUUGAGAACCUAGGCGAUGUGUCUAUGUAACGUAUAGGUAAUAUAAUACAUAACGAGAGUAACUAGGAAUCGAAAUGGUGUACCGAAAUCGUCCUGGAUCGCGCAGUAUUGGAUCAGAGCAGUGGUUUCGAUGCAAAAGGGAUAUUUAUAGCGUGGCAACCGCUUCUACGUGGACUUUCCGGCAUCGUGGCGGGCCAACAAAAAUAUAUUCACACUUCGGACAUGCCUCGAAUAAAGGCGUGUUCGGGUUUUCCUCGAAACUACGCCAUUCACCACCAUAAAUUGAGCCACGGAGAACAUUAGACAGGCCAUAAAAAACUGGCUCGGGCAGCUAGAAGGCCAGUGUAAUAUGUUGAGGAGACAACCGUGCAAACGGAUGGAUUAACAGCCGGAGCGAAAGCUAGAGUUGAAUGAACAAAUAGUCCUCCCUGUUCUGACAAAGAGAUAAACUUGCAACUUAAUGAGCGCGUACAACUCAGAGCUAAGCGAGGCUUGCAUGAGACCGGAGCACUAUUAACGGUAACUUCGAAUAAGUUCCUGUCGUCAUUGAAUAGAAAUUCGGAGUUUCCUCGCGAUUCGCCGACAUCUUGAAACGGGUCUCGGAAAUUGGCGUAUUAAAUUCGACAAAUAUCCUGUCAGCCUGCUGGUCUGCAGCGAUUCAACCAACUUCGAGAAUCGUUGGACUUUCCACGGCGACACUUUUCUAAUUUGACAAGCGGAGAGCCAAAGUAUGUCGAUAGGACUUGUCGGAGCUUCUAUAUUCGUAGCGCAUAACAAAAUAUAUUUCGGCUAUUCUGAGGCUGUGAACCGUAUCGUCUUUCGUUCAUACAAUUUGUAGACAUUCGAUGAUAGAAUAAAAAAUAGUUGGCUCCACAUAUAGGCCAGAAUUAACGACGGACGAACCAUGUCGUAUCGGUUGAAAUAGCAGUCUUGCUCUAUACUUAGCGAGUGGUUUUGGCGUUCACCCUCACAAUUUCAUUAGAAGUUGUCGAUUCCCAUUAGAACAGAGGUAGGGAGCCUUGAUCUCUGGACUGUCGUUGAGAUAUUUAUCAGGAAUGACUGUAAUAGAAUUUUCAAAUCGUAGAGGAAUCAAAAUAGUUUUAUUCUCAUUUAUCUCUGCACUCUUCAAUAUUUCCUUAUAUUCUAUAAAUACUUUAAAUAAACUCUUCGGUUUUUUCACGAAAGAGUAUCUUAAACAAUACGAGCUCGAGAAGAUAAAUGCCACCAGGGUUUAAUAAGUGCUCUCAGCAACCUUUCGAAAUAUACAUAUACCUCGGUCGCGUGAUUGCCUCGGCCGUUUGGUAACACGAGAUGUUAUAUUUACGGAUCAACGAACUCCCCAGGAAGUUUAAACUAACUAGGCCGCGUUUACAAUUUCGAUUUCAGGAAGCAAAUUCUCACGUCGCUUCCAAGAAUCGACCCCGUUAUAGAGUACAACAGGCGAUUGAAAUCGUCUGAAUCGCAUCGAUACGAACGCUUUGAUGGACUUGCUCAAGUAAUAAAUUAAUUUCGACGUACCUGCGACCUGAGGACCUUUUCUUCGCGAAUCUCGUCCAGGUGAUCGUGGGGCAAGGUAAACGGUUCCUGAGGAGUCGAAGGUCGACUGUAUUCGUCGUAGCACGGUGGAGGCACAGGACUCUUCGGCAACUCCGUCGACUAGUGACCGCAGCCCUGUUGCCAAUGAUCGGCUUGAUAAUCGGAGGUGACGUGGUAAUGUUGGUACGAGACGCACUCGACUGGUCAGACCUUUCGAUUACAAGCCUUAUGGAUUCAGAGGUUUGGAGGAGAUUCUGGG